GUCAGGGAGAGUAAGAAAGAGGGCCGAAGAGCGAUGGGCAUGGGAACAUGAUGGAAGGCUAGAGAAUUCAGUUCCUCAUCUAAGACUGAAAGAGGCUUUGUUUUGAGUUUUCAUGAUGCCUCCUAUGCCUAUUUGUCUUUGGUGUUCCUUCCUCUUCCUUCUCGAU
Molecule: microRNA precursor, 166 nt
Filed under: Triticum aestivum (bread wheat)
Lineage: Eukaryota; Viridiplantae; Streptophyta; Magnoliopsida; Poales; Poaceae
Description: MIR2118 microRNA precursor family
Rfam family: MIR2118 microRNA precursor family
Source: Rfam by way of RNAcentral